CCUUGAGCUGGAGUCAGCAUCACACAAGUUUCAGGACAUACAUGAGGACCCCCACUCAGCUCCUAGGGUUGGUGCUGCUCUGUCUUAUAGGUGCCAGAUGUGAUAUCCAGAUGACCCAGUCUCCAGGGUUGCUUUCUGCAUCUGUGGGAGAAACUGUCACCAUCACAUGCCAGUCAAGUCAAAACAUUAACAGUUAUUUAGCAUGGCAUCAGCAGAAACCAGGGGAACCUCCUAAGCUCCUCAUCUAUUAUGCAAACAGAUUGGAAGAUGGGGUCCCAUCCAGGUUCAGUGGCAGUGGAUCUGGCACACAGUAUUCUCUCAAGAUCAGUGGCAUGCAGACUGAAGAUGUAGGAACUUAUUACUGUCAACAGGGUAAUAAUUAUCCUCCCACAGUGAUUCAAGCCAUGACAUAA
Mesocricetus auratus (golden hamster) is the source of this 413-nucleotide non-coding RNA. The record is from the annotation of a RefSeq genome assembly. Lineage: Eukaryota; Metazoa; Chordata; Mammalia; Rodentia; Cricetidae.